UCACUGAUUAUAACGGGAAACGGUUAUUGCUCAAAUCCACCAGAAUGCAGUAAGAUCUUGUACACUGAUGAUGAGCGAUUCAGAGACAAACUGCAGCUGGACCAUCAGACUGGAGAUCUGACCAUCAGCGACAUCAGGAUCCCAAUCUCUGGAGAUUAUCAGAUGAAGAUCACCGGCAGUAAAGAGACAAAACUGAAGAUCUCACCAUCACCAACUCCAAAAGCACUGACUCUGGAGUUUACAAACUGCAGAUCAAGAGCAGCAUUAAAGUCUCCUACAAGAAAUUCAACGUUCUUGUGUGGCUGAACACAUUGAGAUAUACAGCAGGAGAUUCUGUCACUCUACAAACUGAUGUUCCUGAGCUGAGGAGUGAUGGCAGGAUACUGUGGAAGUUUAGCGCUAAAGACUCUUUCAUAGCUGAAGUCAGCCGAGCCAGCCGUCAGACCACAUUAUAUGAAGGAGAUCUGACCAUCAGGAACAUCAGCAGAGCUCAUUCAGACGUCUAUACACUUCAAAUCACCAGCGGCAAAAAGAGCACAUGCUAGAGAUUCAUGCUUAUCGCCCACGAGAAGACUGAAUCUGAAACGGAGGGCGGUUCAGUCACGCCACACAACAAUACUGAAAUAAAAAGAUGAUCUGGUGCUGUGGACAGUCUCAUCGCUAGAGGAGAAAAUGAAGCACGUUCCUGUACAUAUGAUGGCUCUGAAGGGAAACUCAGAAACAGACUGAAGCUGGAUCAUCAGACUGGAUCUCUGACCAUCACAAACAGCACAACUGAACACACCGGAGUUUACAAACUUCUGAUC
This is a long non-coding RNA of Sinocyclocheilus grahami, 806 nucleotides long. RefSeq lists it as uncharacterized. Lineage: Eukaryota; Metazoa; Chordata; Actinopteri; Cypriniformes; Cyprinidae. The transcript is spliced from 3 exons. The record is from RefSeq and is a predicted model, not a curated record.